GGUUUCUCUGUGUAGCCUUGUCAGUUCUG
Molecule: non-coding RNA, 29 nt
Filed under: Rattus norvegicus (Norway rat)
Lineage: Eukaryota; Metazoa; Chordata; Mammalia; Rodentia; Muridae
Source: RNAcentral